GACAGAGGUCCCGAGCGUUAGGCGGAAUCACUGGCUUAAAGCGCGUGUAGGCGGGUCAGCACGUCGGUUGCUGAAAUCCCCCGGCUCAACCGGGGAACGGGCACCGAUAUGACUGGCCUGGAGGGGAGUAGGGGGACCUGGAACUUCCGGUGGAGCGGUGAAAUGCGUUGAGAUCGGAAGGAACGCCCGUGGCGAAAGCGAGGUCCUGGGCUCCUGCUGACGCUGAGACGCGAAAGCCAGGGGAGCGAACGGG
This 253-nucleotide ribosomal RNA is filed under the name uncultured bacterium. RNAcentral describes it as "partial 16S ribosomal RNA". It matches the Rfam family "Bacterial small subunit ribosomal RNA", at positions 524 to 776 of the family's 1533-position model. The record is from RNAcentral.